RNAcentral lists this ribosomal RNA (466 nucleotides) under Copionodon pecten. RNAcentral describes it as "partial 16S ribosomal RNA". It matches the Rfam family "Bacterial large subunit ribosomal RNA", at positions 1838 to 2567 of the family's 2925-position model. Lineage: Eukaryota; Metazoa; Chordata; Actinopteri; Siluriformes; Trichomycteridae. The record is from RNAcentral.
UCAACAUAUAGGAGGUCUUACCUGCCCAGUGACUACAAGUUAAACGGCCGCGGUAUUUUGACCGUGCAAAGGUAGCGUAAUCACUUGUCUUUUAAAUGAAGACCUGUAUGAAUGGUAGAACGAAGGCUUAACUGUCUCCCUCUUCAAGUCAAUGAAAUUGAUCUACCCGUGCAGAAGCGGGUAUAUACAUACAAGACGAGAAGACCCUAUGGAGCUUAAGAUGUAAAAUCAACUAUGUCAAGAUCUUCGGUUGGGGCGACCGCGGGAAACAACAAAACUCCCAUGCAGACCGGGAAGAAAACUAAGAGAAACAUCUCUAAGUCGCAGAACAUCUGACCAUCUCGCCGAUUAACGAACCAAGUUACCCUAGGGAUAACAGCGCAAUCCUCUUCCAGAGCCCAUAUCGACAAGAGGGUUUACGACCUCGAUGUUGGAUCAGGACAUCCUAAUGGUGCAGCCGCUAUUA